GAUGAAGAACGUAGCGAAAUGCGAUACUUGGUGUGAAUUGCAGAAUCCCGUGAACCAUCGAGUCUUUGAACGCAAGUUGCGCCCGAAGCCAUCAGGUUGAGGGCACGUCUGCCUGGGCGUCACAUAUCGUUGCCCAAUGCCUAUUGCAGUGCAAUAGGAGUUUCUAGGGCGAAUGAUGGCUUCCCGUGAGCGUUGUUGCCUCGCGGUUGGUUGAAAAUCGAGUCCUUGGUAGGGUGUGCCAUGGUAGAUGGUGGUCGAGUUAGAACGAUACCGAUCAUGUGCAUGCUCCCCAAAAUAUGGCCUCUAUGACCCACACGCGUCUUUUGACGCUCAUGACGAGACCUCAGGUCAGGCGGGGCUACCCGCUGAAUUUAAGCAUAUCAAUAAGCGGAGGA
RNAcentral lists this unclassified non-coding RNA (395 nucleotides) under soil metagenome. Its description in RNAcentral is "partial contains 5.8S ribosomal RNA, internal transcribed spacer 2, and large subunit ribosomal RNA". The stretch from base 1 to 122 matches the Rfam family "5.8S ribosomal RNA", at positions 35 to 154 of the family's 154-position model. The record is from RNAcentral.